AAGCCCGAGGCUCACCUUCGGGAAUCGGAAGCAUACUGGGGAGCUAGAGUCCGCGAGGGGUCUAGUGGAAUUCCUGGUGUAGCAGUGAAAUGCAUAGAUAUCAGGAGGAACACCGGUGGCGAAGGCGACUAACUGGCGCUGGACUGACACUGAUGCACGAAAUGGCCUUACGGGGAGCAAACAGGAUUAGAUACCCUGGUAGUCCUAGCCGUAAACGUUGUCAACUCGGUGAUGGGUGAGUCGAUCCGCUUCAUUGCCCUUAAGCUUAACCGUCGGACUAAACGUUGACCGCCUGGGGAGUAUGCGCGCAAGCGUGAAACUCAAAGGAAUUGACGGGGGCCCGCACAAGCGGUGGAGCAUGUGGGUUUUAAAUUUCGNAUAAUAAGCGAGGAACCUUACCUGGAUUUGACAUGGACUAGAUCGGGUCUGAAAGNGACCCCUCCCUUCGGGGCUGGUUCACAGGUGCUGCAUGGCUGUCGUCAGCUCGUGUCGUGAGAUGUUGGGUUAAGUCCCGCAACGAGCGCAACCCCUAUUAGCAGUUGCGACCAGUUCGGCUGAGCACUCUGCUGAGACUGCCUAUGAAAGUAGGAGGAAGGUGGGGAUGACGUCAAGUCCUCAUGGCCCUUAUGUCCAGGGCGACACACGUGCUACAAUGGGAGGUACAAACCGUUGCCAACCCGCGAGGGGGAGCUAAUCGGAAAAAACCUUUCUCAGUUCGGAUUGGAGUCUGAAACCCGACUCCAUGAAGUUGGAAUCGCUAGUAAUCGCGAAUCAGCCAUGUCGCGGUGAUACGUUCCCGGGCAUUGUACACACCGCCCGUCACACCACCCGAAUUGGUUUGGCCCGAAGUCAGAUGGUUAACCUUUUUGGAGCCAUUUGCCGAAGGUCAGACUAGUAAGGGGGGUGAAGUCGUAACAAG
RNAcentral lists this ribosomal RNA (919 nucleotides) under uncultured organism. RNAcentral's name for it is "bacterial SSU rRNA". It matches the Rfam family "Bacterial small subunit ribosomal RNA", at positions 598 to 1495 of the family's 1533-position model. The record is from RNAcentral.